GACGAACGCUGGCGGCGUGCUUAACACAUGCAAGUCGAACGGAAAGGCCCUGCUUGCAGGGUACUCGAGUGGCGAACGGGUGAGUAACACGUGGGUGAUCUGCCCUGCACUUCGGGAUAAGCCUGGGAAACUGGGUCUAAUACCGGAUAGGGGCCAUUUUUAGUGUGAUGGUUGGAAAGUUUUUUCGGUGUAGGAUGAGCUCGCGGCCUAUCAGCUUGUUGGUGGGGUAAUGGCCUACCAAGGCGGCGACGGGUAGCCGGCCUGAGAGGGUGGACGGCCACAGUGGGACUGAGAUACGGCCCAGACUCCUACGGGAGGCAGCAGUGGGGAAUAUUGCACAAUGGGCGCAAGCCUGAUGCAGCGACGCCGCGUGGGGGAUGACGGCCUUCGGGUUGUAAACUCCUUUCGCUAGGGACGAAGCUUUUUGUGACGGUACCUAGAUAAGAAGCACCGGCUAACUACGUG
This 465-nucleotide ribosomal RNA is filed under the name uncultured bacterium. RNAcentral describes it as "partial 16S ribosomal RNA". It matches the Rfam family "Bacterial small subunit ribosomal RNA", at positions 28 to 507 of the family's 1533-position model. The record is from RNAcentral.